This is a long non-coding RNA of Odontomachus brunneus, 1875 nucleotides long. RefSeq lists it as uncharacterized. The transcript is spliced from 2 exons. The record is from RefSeq and is a predicted model, not a curated record. Lineage: Eukaryota; Metazoa; Arthropoda; Insecta; Hymenoptera; Formicidae.
UAAACGCGAUCGCAACGUGGAUUGAACAUUUAAGAACUUGUUAUUCUAAUCUGUGGAUUCUAUAAAAUAUACAGAACUCGCAUUGCAAUUUCGGAAAUAUAUACACAUGUAAUAAUCAUGAAGAAAAAAUAAAUCUGGGAAAACUGUUUUACUGGGAUAAUUAUACAAUAAUCAGACGUUUCCGUUUGCGAUCGCGAGCGUUAUCUGCCACAUCGACGAACUCUGAAACAAACUUUACAAAGGAAUUUUACAAGGCGGUACCUCUAUCUGCGGCGAAAUUACAGCGAAACUCCGCAGACUUUUGGUCUCUCACAUCGGGACGAACGAAGAAAGGGAUGGCAAGAUUUGCGGAGGACGAAAGCAGCACAGCACUCGAUGCAAAUCGAAACAAAGUAUUACCACUUGACGAAAUUCACUUGGACUCUUGGCCACGCACAAAGAAAAUGUCGUGAAUACUCGCUCGACGACAACGGGGCCACUAUGUCUCUUUCGAUUUCAGUUCUCUCUUCGAUACUAUCGUUCCAAGGCGCACAAUUUUGUACUCGAUAUGUCGCAGGCAACACAACUAUGUUACAUUUCGCUUUUGUUUCUUAGAACGGUACGACAAUUUCGAAUAGCUCGCUUGAUCGGGAUCAACUCGAAAGUUAAUUCGUGACUUUAAAACUGCUUCUCCCUGAAUGUUCACAACCACAAAGAACACUAACAUCACCAACGGCCGUCUCUUUUCUCACGGGCGAUAAUUUAACGAACUAGAGAUACGACGGCUUUUCUUCCGUUCCUUCGACAUCAGGGAGAUAAUUAUUAGCUAGCACAAGUACACUCUCGAAAUCUUUUACGGAUCUAUACUCGACGUUUCCGAUUGUUCUCGGAUUGUCAUUGCUAAAACGAUAAAUCACAACAGCACUAUAUAUUGCACGAGAAACUUCACUUUAACUUUAACAUGAGGCAAAACCCAAACUCUAUACCGAGUACAAAACUCUUCGGAAUCGAGAGCAGUCUAAUCAUUAUUAUUUCCUGUCUCCACAUGCAUACGUACAUUUUAAUUGAGAAGAGCCGCGAUCACGCCGAUCUCUUGUACCGGUUUCGCGUUGAACAAACGUCUGAUUUUCUUUUUAUUUAUCGACGACCUUAAUUUGUAUUCAAUCGAGUCUUAUACUUUGAAUUUUAAACUCUUCUCAGACAUCGCGAGCAACAAAUAUUUACUGUGGAAUGUGCAUCACUGUAACAUUACCGAGAUUCCAUGUUCUCUCGACUUUUGGUAGGUGAUGAACGGUUCUAAGAAAAUUGACACAAUAUUUUGAGAUUUUUCUCUGCAUAAACUGCAUCUAUUUUUCUGUUCGAACACUAAGCGUACUUAACCACUUCACCUUCAAUCGUGUUCAAGUACGGAAGAGAUCCUUCUCUACUCCUUCCAGAAUGAAUAUUAAAAUAUAUAUCCUGGACAUAGUUGAAGUGCUCUCCGUACUCGAACACGGAACACAAUCACUUCGUCGUUUACAUCACUAUACACAUGUCGAGAGUUUAUCUUUCUUUUCUCGUCUGUUUUAUUUUUUAUUUUACUUUUUUUUUUAAUACCACCAAGCACUGUCCUUUGAAUGAUCAGUUCCUCACUUAAACAGAAAGUGGAUAGCAAGCUUCUGUCGAGAUUACGAAAACACAGAUGUGAUAAACUCGGUUUUACGAUAAACGGAAUCUCAGUUUCUUCCUGGAUCUUAUUCAUUUUUCAAUCACUACCUUCACUCUCAAGCACAGUUUAAACUUUUGAAACUGAUCAAAACUAUUCACGGAUUUCUUACAGCACAAUCACUUAAGUAUUAUGUCACACAAAAGAAAUCUACAGAAAUACAAGUUGAAAAGUAGUCAAUCUUACAAUCA